GAAUGCUAACGACAUUGACAAAGACAGACAACCUGUAACCACUGCUUUAUCCUUAGCCUGUGAUUCAUUUACUUAGCAGACUACUUGUGUUCUUAAAACCAUUUGAGGCUAGGCAGGCUGACAAAGAGCAUUCCUAGAUCCCUUUCUACGGUUGUAAGAGAUUUGAAUAUGCAGGAUUAGUAUAUGUAGCUGGCAUAUGCUUCUGAGACGUACAGUAAUUCCACUGAAUAGCUUAUUUCUGUUUAUGGAAGUGUGAGGUACUGUCAGCCAACCAUCAAGACACCUACUUUUGUGGGCCACUAUAGUUUAAGACAGCUAUACCUGUGCAGAAGUGCUUGCCAUCUUCUGGUGUGUGAAUACAACGAAUUACUAUAUAGCAGAGGAGCUACCAGACCUCGUUUUCCUUGCAGCUAAAGUCCUUUUUACACUACAAAUAAAGAAAUGUUAAGGUGUAACAUGCAGCUCACCCAGUGAAAGCAUCUAACUUCUUUUAAGACUGUGUGUAACCCAAAAAUCUCAAGUUGGCCACUGAGAGCAGUUCAGUAAGGUAUCCCAGCACUGUAGAAGGAAGAGGCAGAAAUUCUUCAUUUGCAUACACCUGGAAGACAACAGAUUAUGCUGGAAAAUACUUCCUGCACUUCCACUUCAGUGCUGUUGCUCUGGGAUGGCAGGAUGGUGUCUCAAACACCAGGUGCUGGCCAAAGUCCUGUGGUGAAAAGAGUGCAAUAUCCUUAAUGAAAUGGUAAGGCUGUUGGUGUAUGUGAUAUGUGGCAAGGGAAUCACAGAUGAUAUGUGAAUAUAUAUUACUACUGCCAACAUGAACAACAGCUGUAGAGUUACAG
This 842-nucleotide long non-coding RNA is filed under the name Anas platyrhynchos platyrhynchos (common mallard). RNAcentral's name for it is "lncRNA (ENSAPLG00000016631.1)". The record is from RNAcentral. Lineage: Eukaryota; Metazoa; Chordata; Aves; Anseriformes; Anatidae.